UACGGAAGGGGCAAGCGUUGUUCGGAAUCAUUGGGCGUAAAGGGCGCGCAGGUGGCUCUGUAUGUCUGCCGUGAAAGCAUACAGCUCAACUGUAUUGUGUCGGUAGAAACUGCAGGACUUGAGGCUGGGAGGGGCUGGUGGAACUCCCUGUGUAGCGGUGAAAUGCGUAGAGAUGGGGGAGAACACUCGUGGCGAAGGCGGCCAGCUAGACCAGUUCUGACACUGAGGCGCGACAGCGUGGGGAGCAAACAGG
RNAcentral lists this ribosomal RNA (253 nucleotides) under uncultured bacterium. RNAcentral's name for it is "partial 16S ribosomal RNA". It matches the Rfam family "Bacterial small subunit ribosomal RNA", at positions 524 to 776 of the family's 1533-position model. The record is from RNAcentral.